GCAUUGUUGACGAGUCCCAAAUAGGACGAAACAGCUGUCCAGUGC
RNAcentral lists this non-coding RNA (45 nucleotides) under Echinostoma caproni. Lineage: Eukaryota; Metazoa; Platyhelminthes; Trematoda; Plagiorchiida; Echinostomatidae. The record is from RNAcentral.